GGCCGUUCUUAGUUCGUGGAGUGAUCUGUCUGCUUAAUUGCGUUUCAAAUAUAUUUUAUUAUAUAACGAGUCUACAAAGGAGUGGUUCAUUAACAGACAAUCAUAUCUUUGAGCGUCUGGAAUCUACUCUAUUUGGCUCAAUUGAACGCAACGGACGUGAUCGCGAGUCCUUGUUGAACUUCAGUAUAUAUUGACUAUCCCCGUAGGAAGGGAUUGGCAAUAAUUGAAUGUUCGCUUUCUAUUAGGUGUGUAUAUAUAGUCUCAAAAUUACAUGUAUUUGUAAUGGCGAGUAAUAUUUAUACUAUCCUGUAGGAAAACUCGGGCGACCGCUGUAAUAUUUCUCUUUAAAACAGAGGAAGAUUGCGGCAAUAACAGGUCUGUGAUGCCCUCAGAUGUCCCGGGCCGCA
This 407-nucleotide ribosomal RNA is filed under the name Globigerinella siphonifera. Its description in RNAcentral is "bacterial SSU rRNA". It matches the Rfam family "Eukaryotic small subunit ribosomal RNA", at positions 1286 to 1491 of the family's 1831-position model. The record is from RNAcentral. Lineage: Eukaryota; Foraminifera; Rotaliida; Globigerinidae.